Molecule: ribosomal RNA, 468 nt
Filed under: uncultured bacterium
Lineage: Bacteria
Description: partial 16S ribosomal RNA
Rfam family: Bacterial small subunit ribosomal RNA
Source: RNAcentral
GACGAACGCUGGCGGCGUGCUUAACACAUGCAAGUCGAACGGACAGGCCCUGCUUUUGUUGUGUUCUUGAGUGGCGAACGGGUGAGUAACACGUGUGUAACCUGCCCUUGACUUUGGGAUAACUUCAGGAAACUGGGGCUAAUACCGGAUAUGAUCUCCUGCUGCAUGUUGGGGGUUGGAAAGUUUGGGCGGUUGGGGAUGGACUCGCGGCUUAUCAGCUUGUUGGUGUGGUAGUGGCUUACCAAGGCUUUGACGGGUAGCCGGCCUGAGAGGGGGACCGGCCACAUUGGGACUGAGAUACGGACCAGAAGCCUACGGGAGGCAGCAGUGGGGAAUAUUGCACAAUGGGCGGAAGCCUGAUGCAGCAACGCCGCGUGCGGGAUGACGGCCUUCGGGGUGUAAACCGCUUUCGCCUGUGACGAAGAGUGAGUGACGGUAAUGGGUAAAGAAGCACCGGCUAACUACGUG